This is a long non-coding RNA of Gallus gallus (chicken), 6103 nucleotides long. RefSeq lists it as uncharacterized. The record is from RefSeq and is a predicted model, not a curated record. The transcript is spliced from 2 exons. NCBI's taxonomy places the organism in Eukaryota, Metazoa, Chordata, Aves, Galliformes, Phasianidae.
AAGAAAAUGUCUUUAGAGGUCAAAACCAGAGAGUUGUUCUAAUUCACGGGCAGAAAGUUUUAAAACAAAUGCACAGCACAUACAAUUCCAGACAAGCCAUUUUGGCUAUGGAACAAAUAUAAGAAAUCCAGCUUUUUCAGUGGGAUGGAGUUGUCUCGGUUUCAGUUUAUGAGGCCAUUUCCCAAAACAUUAUAUAUCUUGGUGACUUAUGAAGCAUGAACGUCAAUGGCAGACUCAAAACUUUUCACAGCAGAAUAUUGUAAACCCAAGUUGUUAACGAGUUCACGAGAAUAACUCUGCUUGUUUUGUAUGGAAAAACUGAGAUAAUUAAGCAAUGCAACUAUAUGACAAGAAAACAUAAUAUGAUUAAACAAAUUGGUUACAAAAUUGCUCAAGGAAGGUUGUCCUGAGCAACACACAGGCGAAGUUCCUUAAGACUGUUGAAACAAAGAUGAUACCUUUCAUAUGCACUCUCCCCAGUUUCUGUCCAAAAUCAAUCAUGCAUUUAAUUUAAUAUUUUGAUCAUUUGAAAAAAGUUAAACUAUGAUUUUGGCAAUCAGGAAAUUCAUACCCAUCACGAUGCUUCUCCAACACAAUAUUCCAGUAAGUAUAUACCUCUAACUCAGUCCCAGUAGUUUUAUUAAUACAACAAAUUACUUAUCCUUCUUUUCUCUUGCCUUCAAUUUGCAGUUUAUGACUUUGAUAUGAAAGCAUUUUCUGAUGAGAAAGGGAAAAACUACAGGAAUAAGUACGAGAUGAGAGACAAUAUCUGUAUUUAAUUUUGAAGUGUCCCACAUAGAAUGGAAGAAAAGUGCACAUAAGCUAUUUGCUUCACUUACACAUGGGUAAAGGUCACUCUGGAGUCAUUUUACAGACCUGGCUCAUGUAAAAGCAAGGCCCCUGCCUACCAUUUAUGCAAAAUCAUUGACAAUCAGGGAAAGCAACAUGAUUGCCAGGAAAAGGCUAUCAUAAGGCCAGUCUCAAAAAGAGAUGAGCAAUGAGCUUAUAGGCCCAGUGGCUUCAGCUCAGGUCAGAAAGAAUCACCAAGAAUCGCUUGCUGGAAUCCAUUCGCAAGCACACAAUGGACAAGAAGGUAAAAAGGGACUCUGCAACUCUGCAAGGAACUUCACAGGCAUACCAUGUCUGAACAACCCUACUGCUCUCUACACCAAGAUGACUGUCUACAUAGAUGGGGAGAGAGCAGGGGCUGUAGCAUAUCUUCAGUCAGACUGCUGACACCACCUCCCACAACACUCCCAUUUAGAAGCUGAGGAUGUAGAGCUGGAUGAACAGACCACUGGGUGGCUGAAGAUGGGCUAUGCCUCCAGGCCUACAAGAGUCAGUAAUCAGUGGCUCAGUGCCAGGCUCAUGACACGUAGAGUGCAUGACAUCAGUGGGGGGAAAAUAGCUCAACAUCUUUGUGAAGAACCAGCAUGACGGACAGACUGCACCCUGAAGCAGAUUUUCACAGGACAGUACCUUAAAGAGCACAGCUGACAUGCUGAAUGGCAGAGCUUGAAUCCAGGGGAACUUUGAAAAAUGGGAAGAGUGGGCCAACAGAAACCUCAUGACAUUCAAUAAGGAGAAGCAUAAAGUUUUGCAGCUUGGGUGAAACAACUCCAUGCCCAUUGGGAUAGGCUGAGAAGCAACAGAAAGGGACCUCAGGUGAUGGUAGACACCAGACUGAAUAAGAACCAGCAGUAUACUUGCACUGUGCAUAUAGCAAACUACAACAGACUGCAUUUGGAGGGCAGCAGUCAAUAUAUCUAAGCAAGUUUAUUAUCCUUUUCUGGACAGCACUGGUGAGACCACAGUCGGAAUUUGUAGCCAGCUGUAUGAAGCCAGUUAAACAGGAAUGUGGAGAAAAAGGAGAUGAACUAGUAGAGGGCUGCAAAAUAGGUCAGGGACCUCAAGAAAGGACCUAUGAGAAGUUAAGUGGACCUGGGCUUGUUUUGCAAAUGAAGCUAAAAGGAGAAUUCAUAGCAACUUACAACCACUUGAACGAUGGCUACAGAAAUGACACAGACAACUUUCUUUGUGAGGGUUAACAUCCUUUUGUUAAGUUCAGUUUGGAUAUUAGGAAGCAUUUCCUCUACAGGAGAGCAUGGCACAUGAGUGAAACACACUGCCCAGAGUUCAUGAAUUCUCCACCCUCAGAGACUUACAGGACUCGGCAAGAAUCAGCUGUGGCUGAUCCAUUCUAGUGACAGCCUUUGCCUCAGCAGGAAUAUGUAACAAGUGACCUACCGAGUUUUCUUUCAAUCAGUAUUUAAAUGCCUUACUGAUUACAGUGGGACCAAGAUGUGCCCCAGCUGACAUUUAUGCCUUAACUACCUGAAAGUAGCUUGAUGUAGCUGGGUUCAAGCAUACUAAUGGCUGCACUUUAUUCUGAGCAUAUUCCAGUUCUGCAUCAAUCCAACCCAAGCUAGGAACUGCUAUCGCAAUUGCUCUCUGCUAUUACUGAGUUUGAAUCAUUUGAUAAAGUACCCUUAACUCUGCAGGGCCUAAUUUUCAAGGUUUCAUUAUUAAUUUUAUAUCAAAGUUCUCAAAACACAGUGCACACAGAAAACACUGAUAAGAGGCUGUAACCUUCAAGUGAUUUCAUAACAUUCUCAACACACAGCCUCUGUUGUUGUUGCUGUUUGCAAUGGUGUGUGGUUCUUAUAAGAGAGGCCUUGCCUGUCCAGACGAACUAAUGUCACUGAAGAGAAAAGGGAGGAGGAAUGCUUCUGCUUUUAGUUCCUGACAAUUCAGUUUUCUUGUAAGUACAGCCACUACCUAUGGAAGGGGAUAGCUAGCAAGUAAAAUUCUGAAGUAGUGCAGAAAUAGCAUUCAAGCACAAAUUCUGGACUUCUCAGACCUAUGUGAAGCAUCUCUACCCACAGCUGGAUAUGUGACAGGAGGUAAGGGUAUUCUACUUGGUAGCAUGGAAAUACUGGCUUUGCCUCCAUCACUAGUGUAUUUUAUCAGGAAAAAAAGCAAUACCCUAUGGUAAAACACAUGAAGAGGUAAUGAAAAUGUCGAUGUUCUCCUGCCUCUCAGUCCUCCCAAGUAAUUUUAUCUAUAUGGUCAGCUAAAGAUAGGCAGUCUGAUUUGCAGAAAUUUACCUGAAAUAAUUGAAACUAGAGAAGGGCAGAAAGGAAAGAUGAAAGGAGGGAGAAUUAUUCACACAAAGCUGUGUUUGGCUGUGACUAAUGUCAGCUCUUGUUAAGCAGCAAAUUUUGUGUGUAACAGGCACUAAAAUCUCCAAGUCAUAUCUUAUAAAACCCCAACUCAGCACAGGGCCUGUCCCAAACAGUGACUGAGGACUUUGUCCAAAUUAAACAACAAAUUAGUUUUUGACUAAUUAAUUCUGUCAAGUAGUAGAUAAAGUGUCAAGUAGUAGAUAAAGUUAGUGCUAAUUAAUUAUUGCUUUUAAACAAAAGGAAAGUAAUUAUAAACCUGUAAUUCCUUCCAAGACCGUUUGGACAAGAAACUGGCUGAAGUUGGUGUGAUUUUGCAAAUAAUUUUUACACUAUAAUCUUCCUUUUUCCCCAGCUCUAAUCAGCACAGGGCCCAGAUCUGUUUUGCUGUCAUCAGUGGGAAAAUUUGUGGUGUCAAAUGGUGGACUCUGCAUCGGGGACAGCCGAUGGUUCAGGAAGAAAACUCAGUCUCAAUGGGAUGUCAGAGAAGCCCCAUGAACUACCUGAUCAUCCUCUUAUGCAUGGAGGAGCCAGGAUCUCAAAGACAUUCUAUCCCACCGCAGCGUACAGAACAGGUACUUACAGCUCUGUAUUGAAGUAGGAGGUGACAUCAGGAUCAGGCACACCUGCUACAGCAAAAUUACUGCUUCCAGUGUCAACCAGAAUAUUUAACUGCCGAAACAGAAGAAAGGAGAGGUGGUUUUCACAUUCAACUAAACAAACAAAAAAUCAUUAAAGCUUUUUUUUGUCUAAACUACCUUUAGUUUAAAAAUAAAGAUGAAAGUUGCUCUGAAAAAUAAAUGCAAAGUAUUAACCUUUGGGGAAGACACGUUGCUGUGGCCCAUCCAGAACAGCUGAUUAUAAUGCAAUGCUUUAAAAUAGUCAUGGUCAUGGAAGGGAGAACACCCACCAAGCCUGUAUUUGCAUAGCAAAUUAAUUUAUGACCACCUCAAACUUCUUUUUGGCCCAAUCCAUGUGUGCCAGCAACCUGCCUUGUCCAGGACACAUACUGCUUUGUGUCCUGUUUAAAGCACUGCUUCUGUAGGGCUGAUGAGGUUUCUAGGUAGAGGGCUGAGUGCCAAUCAGAGCAGAAAUAAGCAUAAACAUGAAGCUUGGAAAGCAUAAGAAGAAAGCAUAACUCCUUCCAAACAGUAGCACCCUACCACAGACUUCACUGCCUGGGAACAAGAGGCUAGAUUUAUAAGCACAGUGAAAAGCACUGAUUGGAAGGCAGCCUUAGUGUAGGCCACUUAUUCAGUUAAUUGGGAGGAUAAUUUAUACCAAAAAUUGCCUAAUAAGAACAGAGAAAAAAAAAAAUGAAAUCCUCUCUUUCCCCAUGUAGCUCAGGCGACCAGUCUGGCUCACCACAGCUGUGGGAAAAUGCUUGUACUAGCACAAAGCAGAAGGUCAUAGCUGUGAAUGAGCUGAGAUGCAGGAUCACCUUGAAACUACAGCUUGGAGUGCCAUUAAAUGACAAUUUAAGCCAGAAAGAGACUGUACAACUACCAAAACUGGUGGUCAUGCUUUUGCCUCCCCUUGGCUGUAUGUUUCCCAUGGCUUCUUGGCACAAGCACUAGUAUCCAUGUGGCCGUGCUACAAAUCAGAUCAGUUUCCUCACCUACAGUUACAAACAAUUAGUCAUCUGUCAUCUCAGACAGCUACUCGACAGGAGAUGGUAGGAGCAGAUACUAGAAAAUGGUGAUUACCUCCUUUGGUGACAGUAUGGUCUCAGUUUGGCCCCCAAAUGAUUGUGAAAUCAUGCUGUAGGCAAUAGCAGACACCUGCCCCUAUAACAGUGUUAAGGAAUUAAGAUUUUUCCUGUAGGAGGGAGACAUCAGGACUGGUUUGCCUGUGGUUUGAAUACAACUUGAACCCACCACUUCUGUAGCCCUCGUCAGUACUUAAGACUCAAGACUGAGCACCAAAAGCGAAUGUGAGAAGGGUAAGAGAGAAAGAUACAGUAAAUGAGCUUAGUGUUGACAAAAGAGGUGGAGAAACAUGAUCGAGUUCAGAAAGGAGCAUAAAGACAAAGGAGGAUAAAGCAUUUAGAGAAGACACGCCGAAAACUUCUUUAAUAGAUUUUACAAUGAGCAUAGUAAAAAAAGAAAGUGUGAGCUGACGUUUAACAACAUUUUUGGUUUGCACAUGGAGAGGAAGGAAAUAGCGGGUUGCCCUUGUUUGAUCUAGCUAAUACAAUGUGGGACUGCAGAGAUCUGAAGAAAACAAACACAGAAACAACUAGUAAUGCGUGGGACUCUCUUCUGAACUACAUGCACUUGUCAUUGCCAUUCCCAGUCCAAAUCAUGCAAAAAUGUUAAGAAUAAAUAUAAACAAAGCCACAACCUUAGUCAAGUUAUUUACCUACCUCACUGUAUCUCAGAUUUUAGACUAAGUGGAGACAACACAUUAAAAUUUAUUUUGCAAUCACACGCAAGCUAGACAGACUUUUAAAAGCAAAAGGACGUAUUUAAGUUCACCUGGCUUCAGGAACUGAGGCUUUGAAAGAAAAUGAGAACCUUUGAGGCAUGACUUGCAAUAAAAUCCACAGUUUACUGCAUACAUUGUUUUGCUGAGAUUAAAAUCUAACAUUCUGUCAACUACCUAUGAAAGUAAGAGUUAUUCCUUUUUUUUUUUUUUUCCCCCUCUGGGAUAGAAAUCAUAUUAAAUAUAAAUAACAAAGAGCAGCUACAAUGCAUGCAUCUAUCAGGACCAACAAAAGUUGCCUCAAAGGGGUGCUGCGGGGCUUAAAUUAAUUAGCAUUACCAAGGCAGUCUGUGAUGUUUGAGUAAUGGGCACUGUAUAUCAGCUGCAUAAAUACACGUAGGUGUUGCCCUACCCUCGGUAAUAUUCAUGACACUGUACAUGGAGGAGGACUGGAAAAAAAAAAACCAAAACCCUCAAACAAAAGCUCAAUCACUAAC